AUGAACAUUCAACGUGACUUGCACAUGGCCAAAGGCGAAGGAGAGACUAGCUACGUGAACAACUCAAGGCUUCAGCAAAAAGCUUUGCUUGAGACUGAGGCGGUGCUUGAGAAGGCCGUCGGAGAAGUGUGCAUGGAUCUCCACCAGCCAGCAAUGACUGCUGUUGAUUUAGGGUGCUCAUCUGGUCAGAACACACUCUUCUUGGUCUCCAAGGUGAUCAAAGUGGUAGGCCGUGAUAGUGACGAAAAAUCAAGGUGCAACCCUGUGGAGCUCCAGUUCUUUCUCAAUGAUUUACCAGGAAAUGACUUCAACUAUGUCUUCCGUUCACUCGAACGGUUCAAAGAGUCGAUAAUAGCGGAACAAAAUACACUGCUACCACCUUUCUAUAUUGCUGGGUUACCAGGCACCUGCUACACUAGGCUUUUCCCUCGCCAGAGUUGUCACCUCUUUCACUCAUCAUACUGCCUCCAUUGGCUCUCUCGGGUACCACAAUUGGGUACCUGCUGGAUUAGAAGGAGGGAGUACUUAAACGGGGGAAACAUUUGCGUUGAUAAGACUACGCCAGCAGGUGUUGCGGAACUGUACCGACUACAAUUUCAGAAAGACAUGUUAUUGUUCCUCAAGUUGCGGCACGAAGAGCUAGUGCUUGGCGGGCAAAUGAUGCUAACGUUUCUUGGGAGAAAAUAUGAGGACAUAUACAACAACGGAUAUGUGAACCAUACUUGGGGCUUACUUGCGCAAUCUCUGCGAUCUCUUGUUAAAGAAGGUCUGCUGGAGAAGGAAAAGCUCGACUCCUUCAACCUUCCCAUUUACGCGCCAUCGGUCAAUGAAGUAAAGGAGGUAGUCGCUCAAAACGGGUUGUUCAACAUCAGCCACAUCAAAUUGUUUGAGUCCAACUGGGAUCCUCAUGAUGAUUCAGAAGGGGGUGAGGUACAAAAUAGCGAACAGAGCGGGAUUAACAUCGCUAAGAGCUUGAGGGCGGUGUUUGGACCCCUACUUGCAAAACAUUUUGGUGAAUCCUUGCUGAACAGGUUAUUCAAGAAAUGUGCAAACUAUGCCACACAACACCUUGAGAGGGGAGAAGGAAAGUACCUUCUCAUCUGCGUGUCCCUGAAAAGAACAUAA
Molecule: ribosomal RNA, 1125 nt
Filed under: Triticum aestivum (bread wheat)
Lineage: Eukaryota; Viridiplantae; Streptophyta; Magnoliopsida; Poales; Poaceae
Description: partial small subunit ribosomal RNA
Source: RNAcentral